GCCUCUCGCGCGCCUUCUAGAGGCUUGCGUCCCGGGAGCCCGGCCUCGUGCGCAGCGCUUUGAGGACUUCCUAAAGCCAGUCCAGGAGCACAGUUUUUACCUGUUCAGUGGCACAUAUCUGUGAUUGAAACUCUGUUUUUGCAUCUUUAACCACUGAAGGAAGAAUGGUAAGGUAAAAAGACCUUAGGCUUUGGAGCCAGUUGGAUCUGGCUUUGAAAAGCAACCCUGACCACUUACUACUUGAACACUCUUGGGUGAGGCUCUUGACUUCUGGGAGCUUACCUUCCUCAUUCAUUAGUU
Molecule: long non-coding RNA, 300 nt
Organism: Gorilla gorilla gorilla (western lowland gorilla)
Lineage: Eukaryota; Metazoa; Chordata; Mammalia; Primates; Hominidae
Exons: 2
Source: RefSeq, a predicted model, not a curated record